GAUGAACGCUAGCGGCAGGCCUAAUACAUGCAAGUCGAACGGUGUCUUCGGACAUAGUGGCGCACGGGUGCGUAACACGUAUGCAACCUACCUUACAUUGGGGGAUAGCCUUUCGAAAGGGAGAUUAAUGCCGCAUAAGACAGUAGCUGGGCAUCCAGCAGCUGUUAAAGAUUUAUCGAUGUAAGCUGGGCAUGCGUCCAAUUAGCUAGUUGGUGAGGUAACGGCUCACCAAGGCUAUGAUUGGUAGGGGAACUGAGAGGUCAAUCCCCCACACUGGCACUGAGAUACGGGCCAGACUCCUACGGGAGGCAGCAGUAGGGAAUAUUGGGCAAUGGACGCAAGUCUGACCCAGCCAUGCCGCGUGCAGGAUGAAGGCGUUAUGCGUUGUAAACUGCUUUUAUACAGGAAGAAACGACUCUUGCGAGAGGCAUUGACGGUACUGUAUGAAUAAGCACCGGCU
Molecule: ribosomal RNA, 460 nt
Filed under: uncultured bacterium
Lineage: Bacteria
Description: bacterial SSU rRNA
Rfam family: Bacterial small subunit ribosomal RNA
Source: RNAcentral